Molecule: ribosomal RNA, 254 nt
Filed under: uncultured prokaryote
Description: partial 16S ribosomal RNA
Rfam family: Bacterial small subunit ribosomal RNA
Source: RNAcentral
UAAGACGAACCGUGCGAACGUUGUUCGGAAUCACUGGGCUUAAAGGGCGCGUAGGCGGAUCAGCAAGUCCGGGGUGAAAUCCUUCGGCUUAACCGGAGAAGUGCCUUGGAUACUGCUGGUCUCGAGGGAGGUAGGGGUCAUUGGAACUUCUGGUGGAGCGGUGAAAUGCGUUGAUAUCAGAAGGAACGCCGGUGGCGAAAGCGAAUGACUGGAUCUCUUCUGACGCUGAGGCGCGAAAGCUAGGGGAGCGAACG